Molecule: transfer RNA, 61 nt
Filed under: Micromelo undatus (miniature melo)
Lineage: Eukaryota; Metazoa; Mollusca; Gastropoda; Aplustridae
Description: Micromelo undata (miniature melo) tRNA-Ser
Source: RNAcentral
AGAAGGGAUAUAAUUUAGGCUGCUAACUUAAAUUUGGGGUUAAUACUUCUCCACCUUCUUU